Molecule: ribosomal RNA, 497 nt
Filed under: uncultured bacterium
Lineage: Bacteria
Description: partial 16S ribosomal RNA
Rfam family: Bacterial small subunit ribosomal RNA
Source: RNAcentral
GAUGAACGCUGGCGGCGUGCCUAAUACAUGCAAGUCGAGCGAACGGACGAGAAGCUUGCUUCUCUGAUGUUAGCGGCGGACGGGUGAGUAACACGUGGAUCCCCUACCUAUAAGACUGGGAUAACUUCGGGAAACCGGAGCUAAUACCGGAUAAUAUUUUGAACCGCAUGAUUCAAAAGUGAAAGACGGUCUUGCUGUCACUUAUAGAUGGAUCCGCGCUGCAUUAGCUAGUUGGUACGGUAACGGCUUACCAAGGCAACGAUGCAUAGCCGACCUGAGAGGGUGAAGGGGCACACUGGAACUGAGACACGGUCCAGGCUCCGACGGGAGGCAGAAGUAGGGAAUCGUGCGCAAUGGGCGGAAGCCUGACGGAGCAACGCCGCGUGAGUGAUGAAGGUCUGCGGAUCGUAAAACGCUGUUAGGAGGGAAGAACAUAUGUGUAAGUAACUGUGCACAUCGUGACGGUACCUAAUCAGAAAGCCACGGCUAACUACGUG